GAUGAACGCUGGCGGCGUGCCUAAUACAUGCAAGUCGAGCGAACGGACGAGAAGCUUGCUUCUCUGAUGUUAGCGGCGGACGGGUGAGUAACACGUGGAUAACCUACCUAUAAGACUGGGAUAACUUCGGGAAACCGGAGCUAAUACCGGAUGAUAUUUUGAACCGCAUGGUUCAAAAGUGAAAGACGGUCUUGCUGUCACUUAUAGAUGGAUCCGCGCUGCAUUAGCUAGUUGGUAAGGUAACGGCUUACCAAGGCAACGAUGCAUAGCCGACCCGAGAGAGUGAUCGGCCACACUGGAACUGAGACACGGUCCAGACUCCUACGGGAGGCAGCAGUAGGGAAUCUUCCGCAAUGGGCGAAAGCCUGACGGAGCAACGCCGCGUGAGUGAUGAAGGUCUUCGGAUCGUAAAACUCUGUUAUUAGGGAAGAACAUAUGUGUAAGUAACUGUGCACAUCUUGACGGUACCUAAUCAGAAAGCCACGGCUAACUACGUG
This 497-nucleotide ribosomal RNA is filed under the name uncultured bacterium. Its description in RNAcentral is "partial 16S ribosomal RNA". It matches the Rfam family "Bacterial small subunit ribosomal RNA", at positions 28 to 507 of the family's 1533-position model. The record is from RNAcentral.